CUUUGCCUCACCCUAAAUGCGUACAGCUCUCUCCUAGCUUUGAACUUAAUGCUUCCCUUCUUUCCCUCAUAUCCUAUUACCUAAGGAUAUAUUUGUGUUUUGACAUGAAAAAGUAAAGCAGAAAGGGCUUCUCUCUCUAUCAAUCCAUGGAUUUGAAUCAGUCAAUCGAGUUCAAUCUUUCUUCCACCACAUCUCCACAAGUGCACAGUUUCAUGCCAAUGUCUUCUGUCUUGAUUUCUAAUUACCAUCACCCAACAAAUGAGGGUUGUAAAGAGGCUAGGAAGUCUCGUUUUAUGCAAGUGCAGAAGCAAAAUUUGGAGAGAUUUUGGAAUCAACAAUUGCUGGAGAUUCAGAAUACUUCAGGUUAUUAAUUUCUUUUGGUUUAAUUAAUAACAUAAGUAUUUAAAUAUAUAUGUAUCCAUUUACUAAUUUGUACCCAUGUUUGGGUGCCUCGUGAUCAAUCUAAGCGUUUAAGAGCCAUCAUCAACUUCCUCUAGCAAGGAUCAAAAGGAUCAUGAAAUAUGAUGGAGAAGUGAAGAUGAUCAGCGCAGAAACUCCUCUAUUGUUCUCAAAAGCAUGUGAGCUCUUCAUCUUGGAGCUCACUCUUCGCUCAUGGCUGCAAACUGAAGAAUGUAAGCGUGGAACGCUUCAGUGUUGUGACAUUGCUAGAGCUAUAAGGGUCAAUGAUACUCUUGAUUUCUUGGUUAAGCUUGUCCCUUAUGACCAUCACAAAAAGGAUGAUGAGACUGGAAACUGUGGUGAAGACCUUGAACCUCUUCCUGCAAUUCAAGUUCCAUUUCCUAUGAUAGACAUUAAUGAGUGAACAAAGUAUAGCGGAAAUCAAUGAUGGAAGAGUGUAGCAAAUAACAAUCAUCGUUUAAUCUUGUGAUUGGCGAUGAAAUGGAUGGAUUCAUAUCAGACGUUAAGUAUAUAUACAUAUAGAAUCAUUUUGCACAAUUCUGUUUUAUACUUUCAGUUUGUUUCACACUUUCAGUUUGUUUUGCAAAAUUCUUAUAAUGUUAUUUCUAAAUUGAAGUGGAUAUUCUUAAUUAUAUUAGAAUUGAUGAGCUAUUAGUAUAAAUAUGAGUAUUAUCUAGAGAUUUUUUAGGUUUUCGUCCAUUGCAGAGGGGCUAUUGUUUAUUAAGGAGAGUAGCUUUUACCUAUAGAAAUAGUAGCUUUUGCCUAUUACAAUCCCGUUGAGUGAGAGAAGUUUCGGCUAGGUGGAUAAAGGAUAUAGUUGGGUUUUGUGCAGAGAAGAAUGAGAAAGACUAAUUAAUGUAUUUACUAUGAUAGUAAGUAUUUUUUUAGGUGUAAUUGGGUUGAUAAUUAGAUAUAUUUGAAUUUAUAAUUAUUUAAAUGAUAUAUUUGAGUUUGUAAUUAUUUAAAAGAUAGUUUGUUUGUUUUGUUUAUCUAUGGUUUAUAGGGCACAACAAUAGAAUAAAUAGAUGAAAAGGUAAGAGACGGUGAGCAGAUAAAUAGAUGGAAAGGCAGGAGGCAAUGAGCGGCGGAGUCAUCGUAGUCAUGGAGAGGGGGAGGAGUCGUUGGAUCGGCAAAUUUGAAAGAAGAUAAUAGGGAGGAAGAGAAAAACAAUGAGAGGCAAAUACUAAAUACAGAGAAAGAGAGAGGGGGAACGAAUUUGCGAAGAGAAUGGUUCCCACUAGCUAAAUAGAACAAUGCUGAUAGCAAGCAGCCAAGAAGAGGAAGGUAUGGCCAUAUGUGAAUUAUUUGCCUGCCCAGAAAAAGUGGAAUAAAGCAACCAAUCAAUGCCAAAAAAAAGAUGCCUUCUGAACUUCUCUUUGAAAAAUUCUCCAUUUCUCUUUUAAUUUUCAAUACAAUACACAGCGAUACACAAUUCACCACCAAUUGGUUUGAUUUAUAUGGUCAAAAAAUAAAAAUAAUUGAACUUAAUGCUUUUUGAGGAGAAUAG
Molecule: unclassified non-coding RNA, 1927 nt
Filed under: Hevea brasiliensis (rubber tree)
Lineage: Eukaryota; Viridiplantae; Streptophyta; Magnoliopsida; Malpighiales; Euphorbiaceae
Source: RNAcentral